Molecule: small nucleolar RNA, 107 nt
Organism: Arachis duranensis
Lineage: Eukaryota; Viridiplantae; Streptophyta; Magnoliopsida; Fabales; Fabaceae
Source: RefSeq, a predicted model, not a curated record
AAACAUAUUAGGGGGCAUUUCCUUAUCAAAUCCUUGAACCUCUCCCAGGCUUCAUAAAUAGUCUCACCAUCUUGUUGUCUGAAUGUCUGCACUUCAGUCUUGAGCCU